UACGUAGGUGGCAAGCGUUGUCCGGAUUUACUGGGCGUAAAGAGCGCGCAGGCGGCUGGUCAAGUCCGAUGUGAAAUCUCCCGGCUCAACUGGGAAACUGCAUCGGAAACUGAUCGGCUUGAAGGUGGGAGAGGGUAGUGGAAUUCCCGGUGUAGUGGUGAAAUGCGUAGAUAUCGGGAGGAACACCAGUGGCGAAGGCGGCUCACUGGACCGGCAUUGACGCUGAGGUGCGAAAGCGUGGGGAGCAAACAGG
RNAcentral lists this ribosomal RNA (253 nucleotides) under uncultured bacterium. RNAcentral's name for it is "partial 16S ribosomal RNA". It matches the Rfam family "Bacterial small subunit ribosomal RNA", at positions 524 to 776 of the family's 1533-position model. The record is from RNAcentral.